GUCCGUUAUUGCAUAUGGAAAUUAUGCAUUUUAUUGAAAUUGUUUUACCAUACAUAUUAAUAAUACAACUUGAAUACUUGAUUGCUAUACGCUACAAUUACUUAGUAAAACGUUUACUUGUAUAGACUAUAGUCAAUGUCAUUGACUAGACCUAAAUCAUAAAUGAUCAUUUUACAAGUACAUAUUAUAAGCCAUAGCUAAUUAACAUUUACAUGUAACAUGUUUUUCAAAUCUACGUUUCUGCUACUUUUCAUAUUUACAACAGUUGUUAGUUCUACAACCGAAUGUUCAUCUUCCAUCAUUUCUGCGACCAAACACCCCUUCAAUUAACACAACCCUUAAACUAACACAACCCUUAAAAACACCCCACUCUGGCUGUAAUGCUCUAAUCCCUCUAAACGUACUGUAUACUACAAAAACUUUAACGAUAACACUAAUGUUGUUACAAACUACAUUUCAAUGUACAGUACAGUACUUGAUUAUCAUUAGUGUUUAGACAAUAUAGCCAUAUAGGCAAUCGAGAGGGCCAAUGCACCGCUGUUUUGUGGUCUCUUGUUGUGUGCGAACAACACAUUGGUGUUGGCAUUGGCGUUGCCAGUAAAACUGUUAAAAAAUCCUCUCGAUUACCCAUAACAUAACAUUUCCAAUUACAAAUCCCAAACCCAAGGGUCUACCUUAAUGUUUUUUUCGCUGCUAGCAAAUCUAUGCUAGCAGGUUUCACUGUUACUAUAGCAAAGUCACUACCAAAAUUUAUCAAUACUUGCGCAUCUGUUUCACGCACGUAGCUUGCGCAGUUUUCGGUCGUCAGAAAUCACAUUUCUGAAACUUUACAUUUACCAAAAGUUUGGUAGUGAAAUGUUGUUUUUUUUACUAUUGUUAUUUUACUAUUUUCUGUUAAUUUUGUGUUAACCUGAGUGUCAGGCUUUAAUUCAGACGAAAAUGCAUUGGCCUGCAUUCAGUUCACUGCCUGAUACUCAGAUUGUUUUAUUAUUAUUCAUUGUUCUCGUUUUCAUUUCUCAUCUUCACUUCUCAAUUUCUCAUCUUCAGUUCUUAAUUUCUCAUUUUCAGUUCUUAAUUUCUCAUAUUCAUUUCUUAAUUUCUCAUUUUCAGUUCUCAAUUUCUCAUUUUCAGUUCUCAAUUUCUCAUUUUCAGUUCUCAAUUUCUCAUUUUCAGUUCUCAAUUUCUCAUUGUCAGUUCCUAAUUUCUCAUUUUCAGUUCUUAAUUUCUCAUUUUGAGUUCUUAAUUUCUCAUCUUCAGUUCUUAAUUUCUCAUUUUCAGUUAUUAAUUUCUCAUUUUCAGUUAUUAAUUUCUCAUCUUCAUUUCUCAAUUUCUCAUCUUCAGUUCUCAAUGUC
This is a non-coding RNA of Paramuricea clavata, 1352 nucleotides long. The record is from the annotation of a GenBank genome assembly. NCBI's taxonomy places the organism in Eukaryota, Metazoa, Cnidaria, Anthozoa, Malacalcyonacea, Plexauridae.